Molecule: ribosomal RNA, 262 nt
Filed under: uncultured bacterium
Lineage: Bacteria
Description: partial 16S ribosomal RNA
Rfam family: Bacterial small subunit ribosomal RNA
Source: RNAcentral
GAUGAACGCUGGCGGCGUGCUUAACACAUGCAAGUCGAACGAAGCACUCUACUUGAUUUCCUUCGGGAAUGAUUGUUCUGUGACUGAGUGGCGGACGGGUGAGUAACGCGUGGAUAACCUGCCUCACACAGGGGGAUAACAGUUGGAAACGGCUGCUAAUACCGCAUAAGCGCACAGCACCGCAUGGUGCAGUGUGAAAAAACUCCGGUGGUGUGAGAUGGAUCCGCGUCUGAUUAGCUGGUUGGCGGGGUAACGGCCCACC